This 498-nucleotide ribosomal RNA is filed under the name Psychrobacter sp. SRA1. Its description in RNAcentral is "bacterial SSU rRNA". It matches the Rfam family "Bacterial small subunit ribosomal RNA", at positions 40 to 530 of the family's 1533-position model. The record is from RNAcentral. Lineage: Bacteria; Pseudomonadati; Pseudomonadota; Gammaproteobacteria; Moraxellales; Moraxellaceae.
CGGGCCCAGGCUUAACUUUGCAAGUCGAACGGUAACAGGAGAAGCUUGCUUCUCGCUGACGAGCGGCGGACGGGUGAGUAAUACUUAGGAAUCUACCUAGUAGUGGGGGAUAGCUCGGGGAAACUCGAAUUAAUACCGCAUACGACCUACGGGAGAAAGGGGGCAACUUGUUGCUCUCGCUAUUAGAUGAGCCUAAGUCGGAUUAGCUAGAUGGUGUUUAAAGGCCUACCAUGGCGACGAUCUGUAGCUGGUCUGAGAGGAUGAUCAGCCACACCGGGACUGAGACACGGCCCGGACUCCUACGGGAGGCAGCAGUGGGGAAUAUUGGACAAUGGGGGCAACCCUGAUCCAGCCAUGCCGCGUGUGUGAAGAAGGCCUUUUGGUUGUAAAGCACUUUAAGCAGUGAAGAAGACUCCAUGGUUAAUACCCAUGGACGAUGACAUUAGCUGCAGAAUAAGCACCGGCUAACUCUGUGCCAGCAGCCGCGGUAAUACAGAG